GGGGAAUUUUGGACAAUGGGCGCAAGCCUGAUCCAGCCAUGCCGCGUGCAGGAUGAAGGCCUUCGGGUUGUAAACUGCUUUUGUACGGAACGAAAAGACUCCUUCUAAUAAAGGGGGUCCAUGACGGUACCGUAAGAAUAAGCACCGGCUAACUACGUGCCAGCAGCCGCGGUAAUACGUAGGGUGCGAGCGUUAAUCGGAAUUACUGGGCGUAAAGCGUGCGCAGGCGGUUAUAUAAGACAGAUGUGAAAUCCCCUGGCUCAACCUGGGAACUGCAUUUGUGACUGUAUAGCUAGAGUACGGCAGAGGGGGAUGGAAUUCCGCGUGUAGCAGUGAAAUGCGUAGAGAUGCGGAGGAACACCGAUGGCGAAGGCAAUCCCCUGGGCCUGUACUGACGCUCAUGCGCGAAAGCGUGGGGAGCGAACA
RNAcentral lists this ribosomal RNA (426 nucleotides) under uncultured bacterium. RNAcentral describes it as "bacterial SSU rRNA". It matches the Rfam family "Bacterial small subunit ribosomal RNA", at positions 356 to 774 of the family's 1533-position model. The record is from RNAcentral.